CAGUCGCCGCGGUAAUACGGAGGGGGCUAGCGUUGUUCGGAAUUACUGGGCGUAAAGCGCACGUAGGCGGCUUUGUAAGUUAGAGGUGAAAGCCUGGAGCUCAACUCCAGAAUUGCCUUUAAGACUGCACCGCUUGAACACGGGAGAGGUGAGUGGAAUUCCGAGUGUAGAGGUGAAAUUCGUAGAUAUUCGGAAGAACACCAGUGGCGAAGGCGGCUCACUGGCCCGUUGUCGACGCUGAGGUGCGAAAGCGUGGGGAGCAAACAGGAUUAGAUACCCGUGAGUCCCUGUCUCUUAUACA
RNAcentral lists this ribosomal RNA (301 nucleotides) under uncultured bacterium. RNAcentral describes it as "partial 16S ribosomal RNA". It matches the Rfam family "Bacterial small subunit ribosomal RNA", at positions 509 to 808 of the family's 1533-position model. The record is from RNAcentral.